GACGAACGCUGGCGGCAUGCCUAAUACAUGCAAGUCGAGCGAACAGAUGAAGUGCUUGCACUUCUGACGUUAGCGGCGAACGGGUGAGUAACACGUAAGGAAUCUACCUAUAAGCGGGGGAUAACAUUCGGAAACGAGUGCUAAUACCGCAUAAUAUCUUCUUCCGCAUGGAAGAAGAUUGAAUGUCGGCUCUGCUGUCACUUAUAGAUGACCUUGCGGUGCAUUAGUUAUUUGGUGGGGUAACGGCCUACCAAGACGAGGAUGCAUAGCCGACCUGAGAGGGUGAUCGGCCACAUUGGGACUGAGACACGGCCCAAACUCCUACGGGAGGCAGCAGUAGGGAAUCUUCCGCAAUGGGCGAAAGCCUGACGGAGCAAUGCCGCGUGAGUGAAGAAGGCCUUCGGGUCGUAAAACUCUGUUAUAAGAGAAGAACAAAUUGUAGAGUAACUGCUACAGUCUUGACGGUAUCUUAUCAGAAAGCCACGGCUAACUACGUGCCAGCAGCCGCAGUAA
RNAcentral lists this ribosomal RNA (513 nucleotides) under uncultured bacterium. Its description in RNAcentral is "partial 16S ribosomal RNA". It matches the Rfam family "Bacterial small subunit ribosomal RNA", at positions 28 to 523 of the family's 1533-position model. The record is from RNAcentral.